This is a non-coding RNA of Pelobates cultripes (western spadefoot toad), 95 nucleotides long. The record is from the annotation of a GenBank genome assembly. Lineage: Eukaryota; Metazoa; Chordata; Amphibia; Anura; Pelobatidae.
ACCAACGUUUUCAGCCCCUCUCUGGGCUCUCAUCAGGAUCAGUGUUUUUUUUUUUUGAUCCUGAUGAGAGCCCAGAGAGGGGCUGAAACGUUGGU